UACGAAGGGGGCUAGCGUUGUUCGGAAUUACUGGGCGUAAAGCGCACGUAGGCGGAUCGAUCAGUCAGGGGUGAAAUCCCAGGGCUCAACCCUGGAACUGCCUUUGAUACUGUCGAUCUGGAGUAUGGAAGAGGUGAGUGGAAUUCCGAGUGUAGAGGUGAAAUUCGUAGAUAUUCGGAGGAACACCAGUGGCGAAGGCGGCUCACUGGUCCAUUACUGACGCUGAGGUGCGAAAGCGUGGGGAGCAAAC
RNAcentral lists this ribosomal RNA (250 nucleotides) under uncultured bacterium. RNAcentral describes it as "partial 16S ribosomal RNA". It matches the Rfam family "Bacterial small subunit ribosomal RNA", at positions 524 to 773 of the family's 1533-position model. The record is from RNAcentral.